Molecule: ribosomal RNA, 381 nt
Filed under: Triticum aestivum (bread wheat)
Lineage: Eukaryota; Viridiplantae; Streptophyta; Magnoliopsida; Poales; Poaceae
Description: partial small subunit ribosomal RNA
Source: RNAcentral
AUGUUUUCCUUUUCACUAUUAGAUGUUGAGAGCCUAAAGUCAUCUGAUGGCUUUCAAGAGAGUGCAUUCGGCGGAGCAGGUGGCAUCCUAUUCCUCUCCUUAGAUGUCAUUGUCUAUUCUCGUGCGACCCUGACUACUCCGCGAUCUCCCGCCUGUGAUCCACCUGUGCAAGCAAAUUUUAUGCCAAGGAUAUCUCUUUAUUCUUGCGGCCAAGGCGGAAGAAGCCCUGGAUGCAAAUGGAGAGCCUCCUCUGCCAUCUCAGCAUCAGCCGUAGGACGACGCUACACCUUAGCGCGGUGGACAGCUCAAAGGCCGCUUCUGAUGAGAUCAUCAAUCUCAAAGAUAUGGACCUCUCGAACGACAAUGCCAUUGUUGUUGUAA